GACGAACGCUGGCGGCGUGCUUAACACAUGCAAGUCGAGCGGGAACCUCGGCAGGGGUAACCCUUCCGAGGGGAGAGCGGCGAACGGGUGAGUAACACGUGGGCAACCUGCCCCGGACACCGGGAUAACCCACGGGAAACCGUGAGCUAAUACCGGAUACUCCGGCACGAUCGCAUGGUCGUGCCGGGAAAGCUCCGACGGUCCGGGAUGGGCCCGCGGCCUAUCAGCUUGUUGGUGAGGUAACGGCCCACCAAGGCGACGACGGGUAGCUGGUCUGAGAGGACGGCCAGCCACACUGGGGACUGAGACACGGCCCAGACUCCUACGGGAGGCAGCAGUGGGGAAUCUUGCGCUAAUGCGCGAAAGCGUGACGCAGCGACGCCGCGGUGGGGAGUGAAGG
Molecule: ribosomal RNA, 400 nt
Filed under: uncultured bacterium
Lineage: Bacteria
Description: bacterial SSU rRNA
Rfam family: Bacterial small subunit ribosomal RNA
Source: RNAcentral